GGGGAAUAUUGCGCAAUGGGGGAAACCCUGACGCAGCAACGCCGCGUGAAGGAUGAAGGUCUUCGGAUUGUAAACUUCUUUGAUGAGGGACGAACAAAUGACGGUACCUCAAAAACAAGCCACGGCUAACUACGUGCCAGCAGCCGCGGUAAUACGUAGGUGGCGAGCGUUGUCCGGAAUUACUGGGUGUAAAGGGCGUGUAGGCGGGAAAGCAAGUCAGAUGUGAAAUACCGGGGCUUAACUCCGGGGCUGCAUCUGAAACUGUUUUUCUUGAGUGUCGGAGAGGAAAGCGGAAUUCCCAGUGUAGCGGUGAAAUGCGUAGAUAUUGGGAGGAACACCAGUGGCGAAGGCGGCUUUCUGGACGACAACUGACGCUGAGGCGCGAAAGCGUGGGGAGCAAAC
RNAcentral lists this ribosomal RNA (402 nucleotides) under uncultured bacterium. RNAcentral describes it as "bacterial SSU rRNA". It matches the Rfam family "Bacterial small subunit ribosomal RNA", at positions 356 to 773 of the family's 1533-position model. The record is from RNAcentral.